Molecule: unclassified non-coding RNA, 480 nt
Filed under: Hevea brasiliensis (rubber tree)
Lineage: Eukaryota; Viridiplantae; Streptophyta; Magnoliopsida; Malpighiales; Euphorbiaceae
Source: RNAcentral
GUGAAACUAAACAAUUCAAUCUCAGAGAAAGAAUCUUUAUUUUAUUAUUAUCAAGAACUUCAAUUUUUUUUUUAAUUUUUUGGAGUCCACAGAUGUUGACUAGUUGUGGCUUUGCACUGUCAUACUGUGUUGGAAAUAUUAUUUCUUGGCGCACCUUGGCUCUAUUUGGUGCUAUUCCAUGCGUGGUGCAGCUUGCGGGUUUAUUCUUUAUUCCAGAGUCUCCUAGAUGGCUGGUGAGUUCAACGGAAAACUAGGGUGAUUUUUCAAUUUGUGAUUGUAAAUUGUAAUAAAGAUUUUAUAAACGAUUUCAGCACUACUGAGUGAAAGCUUGUUGUGGCAGGUGAAUUAUUUUAUGAGCAAGAAUACAUGGAUUUGAACUAAUUCUGUUGGAAUUUCUACAGGCGAAGCAUGGCAGGGAAAAAGAAUUUGAAUCUGCUUUGCAACGUCUUAGGGGAAAGAAUGUAGAUAUUUCUGUAGAAG